This 389-nucleotide long non-coding RNA is filed under the name Gossypium barbadense (sea-island cotton). RNAcentral describes it as "long non-coding RNA (GBAR_LNC016915)". Lineage: Eukaryota; Viridiplantae; Streptophyta; Magnoliopsida; Malvales; Malvaceae. The record is from RNAcentral.
AUAAAUAAUACAUUAAAUGCAAAAAAAUUCUGGAAAAAUAAGUGUUUUCUUCUCUCAAAUUGUCAAGUAAAAAAUCCUAUUCUCAAAUUUUCAUCUUAUUCGAUUUUCAUCACCAUUACCAGAUCAGCUUCAUGUCUCUCUUAACUCACCAUCAUCAUCUCAAAAGAUAACCAUCAUCCACGCCAAAAUAACUUCAUCUCAAAACUCAGAUUUGGCUUCUUCUUCUCUCUCUCUCUCUCUCUCUCUCUCUCUCUUUUUUGCUAUUUUUGGGCUAUGGUUUUAUUGGUUAUGGGUAUAGAUUAUUGAUGGUGGGGUUGGGUUAUUGAUGAUGUAGAUUGAGGUGCAGAAGAUGGUGGUAGUGGGGGCUCAGGGAGGGAGGUGGUGUGGAA